CCUACGGGUGGCAGCAGUAGGGAAUCUUCCACAAUGGACGAAAGUCUGAUGGAGCAACGCCGCGUGAGUGAAGAAGGGUUUCGGCUCGUAAAACUCUGUUGCUAGAGAAGAACAGGUGUAAGAAUAACUGCUUACAUUUCGACGGUAUCUAACCAGAAAGUCACGGCUAACUACGUGCCAGCAGCCGCGGUAAUACGUAGGUGGCAAGCGUUGUCCGGAUUUAUUGGGCGUAAAGGGAGCGCAGGUGGUCUUUUAAGUCUGAUGUGAAAGCCUUCGGCUUAACCGAAGAAGUGCAUCGGAAACUGAAUGACUUGAGUGCAGAAGAGGACAGUGGAACUCCAUGUGUAGCGGUGAAAUGCGUAGAUAUAUGGAGGAACACCAGUGGCGAAGGUGACUGUCUGGUCUGUUACUGACACUGAGGCUCGAAAGCAUGGGUAGCAAACAGGAUUAGAUACCCUUGUAGUC
This 465-nucleotide ribosomal RNA is filed under the name uncultured bacterium. RNAcentral describes it as "bacterial SSU rRNA". It matches the Rfam family "Bacterial small subunit ribosomal RNA", at positions 338 to 795 of the family's 1533-position model. The record is from RNAcentral.